UACGUAGGGGGCAAGCGUUGUCCGGAAUUAUUGGGCGUAAAGAGCGCGUAGGCGGUCUGUCACGUCGGCUGUGAAAUCCCGAGGCUCAACCUCGGGUCUGCAGUCGAUACGGGCAAACUAGAGUAUUGCAGGGGAGACUGGAAUUCCUGGUGUAGCGGUGAAAUGCGCAGAUAUCAGGAGGAACACCGGUGGCGAAGGCGGGUCUCUGGGCAAUAACUGACGCUGAGGAGCGAAAGCGUGGGGAGCGAACAGG
RNAcentral lists this ribosomal RNA (253 nucleotides) under uncultured bacterium. Its description in RNAcentral is "partial 16S ribosomal RNA". It matches the Rfam family "Bacterial small subunit ribosomal RNA", at positions 524 to 776 of the family's 1533-position model. The record is from RNAcentral.